Molecule: ribosomal RNA, 253 nt
Filed under: uncultured bacterium
Lineage: Bacteria
Description: partial 16S ribosomal RNA
Rfam family: Bacterial small subunit ribosomal RNA
Source: RNAcentral
UACGUAGGGGGCGAGCGUUGUCCGGAAUGACUGGGCGUAAAGGGUGCGUAGGCGGCCCGAGAGGUCCUGGGUGAAAGGCCCCGGCUCAACCGGGGAGGGCCCCAGGAAACCGGCGGGCUAGAGGGCUGGAGAGGGCCGCGGAAUUCCCGGUGUAGCGGUGAAAUGCGUAGAUAUGCGGAGGAACACCGAUGGCGAAGGCAGCCUCCUGGGAUAACACUGACGCUCAUGCACGAAAGCGUGGGGAGCAAACAGG